AGCACACACACACACACAGCAGUGUGUGUAUGUGUGUAUAUAUGUGUAUGUAUAUAUAUAUAUAUAUAUAUAUAUAUACAUGCACAUAUAUACAUACAUACAUAUAUAUAUAUGCGGCGUGUGCUUGUGCUUU
Molecule: non-coding RNA, 133 nt
Organism: Pelobates cultripes (western spadefoot toad)
Lineage: Eukaryota; Metazoa; Chordata; Amphibia; Anura; Pelobatidae
Source: the annotation of a GenBank genome assembly